RNAcentral lists this unclassified non-coding RNA (1719 nucleotides) under Hevea brasiliensis (rubber tree). The record is from RNAcentral. Lineage: Eukaryota; Viridiplantae; Streptophyta; Magnoliopsida; Malpighiales; Euphorbiaceae.
AUUGAGAACUGUACCAGUUUAACAGGCUUGGACCUUUCAGGUAAUGAGUUCCAUGGACCGAUUCCAUUAGACAUCGGGAAAAGGAUGCCAUAUGUAACAAGACUAGAUCUAUCCUUCAACAAAUUUUCUGGUGAAAUCCCAUCAAGUAUUGCAAAUUGCUCUUAUCUAAAUGAUCUCAAUCUUGAGAACAACGAAUUAACUGGCCGUAUCCCACAACAAAUUGGCUAUCUUGGUCGGAUUAAGACCUUCAGUGUUGCAAACAAUCGAUUAUCAGGGCAAGUGCCAAACUUUGCGAAGGGCAGUAUCCCAGCUGAAAGCUAUGCUAAUAACAUGGGACUCUGUGGAGGGCCUUUGGAAGAAUGCACAAAGCCAAGGAAAAUCAACUGGAAAGUGAUUGGUUAUACUCUUUCUGCGGCUUCAGUGAUGGUUGUACUGGCUUGUUGCGUUCCUUGGGUGCGUGUGGGGGAGAAGAAGAAAAGGAGGAUCACCGCAGCGGAAAUUAUCAUACUGAUGAUAAGGAGGAAGAACAAGAAAAGAGAGGAUGAGCUUGAGGAUGGUUUUGCAAUGAUAGAGGUCCAACAAGAAACAGGGAUUUCUAGGUUGGAGAAAUUUGUUACAAGAAUGAGUUAUAUAGAUCUCAGCUAUGCUACCCAAAAUUUCAGUCAACACAAUAUCAUUGGACACGGACAAAUGGGGACAAUGUAUAAGGCAACCCUUCCAAAUGGUUGGUGCCUCGCAGUGAAAAGGUUGCAUGACUCUCAACAAUUUGAAGAACAGUUCAUAUCUGAAUUGAAUACAUUAGCCAGAUUCAGACACGAUAAUUUAAUUCCAAUAUUGGGAUUUGCCAUAGAGUUGAAGGAAAGGCUUCUGGUGUACAAAUAUGUCUCCAAUGGAAAUCUUUUCGAUUGGUUGCAUUCAGCAGAAGACAAGAAGAAGAUUCUUGAAUGGCCUCUGAGGAUGAAAAUUGCUGUUGGAUUAGCGAGAGGCUUGGCAUGGCUUCACCAUCGAAAAAAAUUCCGCUUGGCACAUCUCAACAUAAACUCAAAGUCUGUUUUACUUGACAAGAAUUUUGAACCUAAGUUAUCAAAUUUUGGAAGGGCAAGGAUAAGUUCACCUAUAGAAACUGAACUCUGGGAAUCGAGUUUUCUGAAAGAUGUCUACAACUUUGGAAUUGUGAUUCUUGAGCUGAUCAAAGGUAAACAGCUUACUUCGUCAAACAGUUCUGAAAGGAGCUUGGAGGAAUAUACAAGUAAUAUCUCUACCAGCUCUGCUUGUCUGUAUGAUGCUAUUGAUACGUGUUUGAUAGGGAAAGGACAUGAUGAUGAGAUUUUCCAGCUCUUUAGAAUUGCUUGUAAUUGUGUUGAACACUUGCCAGAGCGAAGGAAAAACAUGCUUGAAGUGUACGAAAUGAUUAAAGACGUCAGAGAGACACAAGUCCUCUCAUAAUGAUCCACAAAAAUCUGUGGAAUCCAAAAUUGCUUCACCAAAUUUCAGAGAUGAAUGAGGCUGAAAUAACAGAGAAUGCAAUAAAACAGAGCAAAAAUAUAUGGCCAUUUUUCUUCUUUAACUGUAUUUUAGGUUCAAGGAAAUGAAGGCAAGGUAUGUAGGUUAGUCCUGAAGAAAGCAUGCAAAAUAUGUACAAGGAAAUCUUAUCUUUAGUAUUAGCCUGAACUUGAUUACUUUGUGUACUGUUCUUGAAAUGAUGAUGUUAAUUUGUUG